Molecule: ribosomal RNA, 440 nt
Filed under: uncultured bacterium
Lineage: Bacteria
Description: bacterial SSU rRNA
Rfam family: Bacterial small subunit ribosomal RNA
Source: RNAcentral
CCUACGGGUGGCUGCAGUGGGGAAUAUUGGACAAUGGGCGCAAGCCUGAUCCAGCCACGCCGCGUGAGUGAUGAAGGCCUUCGGGUCGUAAAGCUCUGUGGGGAGGGACGAACCGCCGUUGGUGCAUAGCCAACGGCAUGACGGUACCUCCUUAGCAAGCACCGGCUAACUUCGUGCCAGCAGCCGCGGUAAUACGAAGGGUGCAAACGUUGCUCGGAAUUAUUGGGCGUAAAGCGCACGUAGGCGGCUCUGUAAGUCGGAUGUGAAAUCCCUCGGCUCAACCAAGGAAGUGCAUUCGAAACUGCGGAGCUUGAGUAGUUAAGAGGAUCGCGGAAUUCCCGGUGUAGAGGUGAAAUUCGUAGAUAUCGGGAGGAACACCAGUGGCGAAGGCGGCGAUCUGGGAACAUACUGACGCUGAGGUGCGAAAGCGUGGGGAGCAA